UACGGAGGAUCCAAGCGUUAUCCGGAAUCAUUGGGUUUAAAGGGUCCGUAGGCGGUCUUGUAAGUCAGUGGUGAAAGCCCAUCGCUCAACGGUGGAACGGCCAUUGAUACUGCAGGACUUGAAUUACUGGGAAGCAACUAGAAUAUGUAGUGUAGCGGUGAAAUGCUUAGAGAUUACAUGGAAUACCAAUUGCGAAGGCAGGUUGCUACCAGUGGAUUGACGCUGAUGGACGAAAGCGUGGGUAGCGAACAGG
Molecule: non-coding RNA, 253 nt
Filed under: uncultured bacterium
Lineage: Bacteria
Also listed under: 1 other name
Description: partial 16S ribosomal RNA
Rfam family: Bacterial small subunit ribosomal RNA
Source: RNAcentral